UUUACACCUGAAGGCAAAACGUAAAACUUUUGACUACGGUACGAUCAGCGACUGGGGUGAAGUCGUAACAAGGUAGCCGUAGGGGAACAUGCGGCUGGAUCACCUCCUUUCUAAGGAAAUCGAAAAAUAUUAAAUCAAUUAUUUUCGAUUUAAAAAAAUAGGUUAAUGUGACCGUCCUCAUUUCUCUUCUUUUAAUGUCUCUGAGUAAUUGUAAAUAAGGGGCCGGUAGCUCAGGUGGUUAGAGCGCACCCCUGAUAAGGGUGAGGUCGGAAGUUCGAGUCUUCCUCGGCCCACCAAUAUUAUGGGGGAUUAGCUCAGCUGGGAGAGCGCCUGAUUUGCAUUCAGGAGGUCAGCGGUUCGAUCCCGCUAUCCUCCACCAAAUUUGGGACAUUGAGCUUUUUUAAAUUGUAAAUAUUAUUAAUAUCAAUAUCUAUAUCCGAUUGUUUUCAGAUAUUUUUUUGAAAACAAUCAAAACAAAAAUUUAAUUUAUUACAGAAAAGUUUUUUUCUGUGCAUAAAUCAAGCGUUUAAGGGCGAUUGGCGGAUGCCUUGGCACUGUAAGACGAUGAAGGACGUGGUAUACUGCGAUAAGUUUCGGGGAGCUGUAUGCAGGCUUUGAUCCGAAAAUUU
RNAcentral lists this unclassified non-coding RNA (629 nucleotides) under uncultured marine bacterium. RNAcentral describes it as "partial contains 16S ribosomal RNA, 16S-23S ribosomal RNA intergenic spacer, and 23S ribosomal RNA". The stretch from base 517 to 629 matches the Rfam family "Bacterial large subunit ribosomal RNA", at positions 1 to 113 of the family's 2925-position model. The record is from RNAcentral.